Molecule: ribosomal RNA, 492 nt
Filed under: uncultured bacterium
Lineage: Bacteria
Description: partial 16S ribosomal RNA
Rfam family: Bacterial small subunit ribosomal RNA
Source: RNAcentral
AGUGAACGCUGGCGGUAGGCCUAACACAUGCAAGUCGAACGGCAGCACAGUAAGGGCUUGCUCUUACGGGUGGCGAGUGGCGGACGGGUGAGGAAUACAUCGGAAUCUACUUUUUCGUGGGGGAUAACGUAGGGAAACUUACGCUAAUACCGCAUACGACCUACGGGUGAAAGCAGGGGAUCUUCGGACCUUGCGCGAUUGAAUGAGCCGAUGUCGGAUUAGCUAGUUGGCGGGGUAAAGGCCCACCAAGGCGACGAUCCGUAGCUGGUCUGAGAGGAUGAUCAGCCUCACUGGAACUGAGACACGGUCCAGACUCCUACGGGAGGCAGCAGUGGGGAAUAUUGGACAAUGGGCGCAAGCCUGAUCCAGCCAUACCGCGUGGGUGAAGAAGGCCUUCGGGUUGUAAAGCCCUUUUGUUGGGAAAGAAAAGCAGCAGGUUAAUACCCCGCUGUUCUGACGGUACCCAAAGAAUAAGCACCGGCUAACUUCGUG